UGGCUCAGAUUGAACGCUGGCGGCAGGCCUAACACAUGCAAGUCGAGCGGAAACGACUUAACUGAACCUUCGGGGAACGUUAAGGGCGUCGAGCGGCGGACGGGUGAGUAAUGCCUAGGAAAUUGCCCUGAUGUGGGGGAUAACCAUUGGAAACGAUGGCUAAUACCGCAUGAUGCCUACGGGCCAAAGAGGGGGACCUUCGGGCCUCUCGCGUCAGGAUAUGCCUAGGUGGGAUUAGCUAGUUGGUGAGGUAAUGGCUCACCAAGGCGACGAUCCCUAGCUGGUCUGAGAGGAUGAUCAGCCACACUGGAACUGAGACACGGUCCAGACUCCUACGGGAGGCAGCAGUGGGGAAUAUUGCACAAUGGGCGCAAGCCUGAUGCAGCCAUGCCGCGUGUGUGAAGAAGGCCUUCGGGUUGUAAAGCACUUUCAGUCGUGAGGAAGGUGGUAGUGUUAAUAGCACUAUCAUUUGACGUUAGCGACAGAAGAAGCACCGGCUAACUCCGUGCCAGCAGCCGCGGUAAUACGGAGGGUGCGAGCGUUAAUCCGAAUUACUGGGCGUAAAGCGCAUGCAGGUGGUUUGUUAAGUCAGAUGUGAAAGCCCGGGGCUCAACCUCGGAAUAGCAUUUGAAACUGGCAGACUAGAGUACUGUAGAGGGGGGUAGAAUUUCAGGUGUAGCGGUGAAAUGCGUAGAGAUCUGAAGGAAUACCCGGUGGCGAAGGCGGCCCCCUGGACAGAUACUGACACUCAGAUGCGAAAGCGUGGGGAGCAAACAGGAUUAGAUACCCUGGUAGUCCCACGCCGUAAACGAUGUCUACUUGGAGGUUGUGGCCUUGAGCCGUGGCUUUCGGAGCUAACGCGUUAAGUAGACCGCCUGGGGAGUACGGU
Molecule: ribosomal RNA, 889 nt
Filed under: Vibrio sp. HG-3F
Lineage: Bacteria; Pseudomonadati; Pseudomonadota; Gammaproteobacteria; Vibrionales; Vibrionaceae
Description: bacterial SSU rRNA
Rfam family: Bacterial small subunit ribosomal RNA
Source: RNAcentral